RNAcentral lists this ribosomal RNA (1527 nucleotides) under Triticum aestivum (bread wheat). RNAcentral describes it as "partial small subunit ribosomal RNA". The record is from RNAcentral. Lineage: Eukaryota; Viridiplantae; Streptophyta; Magnoliopsida; Poales; Poaceae.
AUGGCUCUGGGGUUGAGGCGCUCAAGGAUGGAGGUGCUCAUGGCGGAGGGAGCGAAGGACGGCCCGCAGGCGAGCUCGAGAUGGAGGCGGCCCCGUGGGAGAGGCAGUGAGUCCGGAAGCGAGGGCAUGGAGGUCAACAACGAGUGCUCGGGAGAGGAGAGGAAGGCGGCACUCCAGGCAGUGGUGCUGGGUAGAGAGAGAUGCUGGCGGCGGCAGGAGCAGCUCGUCUCUUCUCCUCGUCUCAUCUCAUGGAUGAAGGCGCCGGUUCCAGGAGCUCCAGGAUUGGAAAACGUCUUCCUUCAAAAUUUUGCCAAGGUGCUCCUCUCUCUUUGCUUCUUCUCUCUUCUCUGUACUUUGUUUGGGCAAGCUUUGACUUGGCCAGUGAUCUUGUCUCACAUUACAGUUUUGGAAUUUGUCAACGAAAGUCUUCUCUGUUUCAGGGAGGAGAUCGAACACACUUGUUCUAUUGAUCUGGAGGGUACAUAUACAGAGGGAACAGAGGGCGUCUGGGUCACGAUGGUGAUCGUGGGCAGCCAUGUUCGAGAGGUGGAGGUUAUCACACCCCGUAGUCGUGACGUCGGGCGGAGCGACGCAAAGACUGGAACGGAAGUCAUGGAAGACGCCGGCCAGCAAUCAGUGUUCGCCAUCAUGGUUAAGCAAUUGGUCCGGACAAGAUGUAAUAUCCGCAGGCAUGAGUUAACUGCAUAUGGGAAUGGGAAAGAAUUGGGCAAGCGAGACCAGCGGGGGAAGGAACAGGCCAUGGCCUUAAACGCUGGCUUGUCGUUUGCUUCAACGUUGCUUACAGCUGAAGAAGACAAAGACCAGCAGCCGAUGGACGCCAUCUGGUGUUGUGUACAACAGGUUCUGGGGUAUGAGAUACCUCUCCAGAAGAACAAUGAGGAUGCUCCUAGUGUUAUCCAAUUUAAUCAGCUUGCAAUAAUAGGUUGGAUGGACUUUGGCCACAGGUUGCAGGAUAGCAGGAUGUGUUUUUCAGUGAUGUGGUUGCUCACAGUUACAAAUUACUCUCAUAUGCCUAAGUAUAAGAUGGCAUCAGUUAAACAAGAGGAGGCAAACACAACCAGUGAUAUCAGCGGUAGCCAAAUUACCCAUGACGAACUGUGUCGGAAGCAUAACAAGCCAUUCGAGUAUAUUCAUCGCCCACGCGAAAUCAUCCACAACAUCACCACGCCUGAUCGCUACUAUGUGUGCCACAUGACAGAAACAUUUGCAACAGACAUCAAAAGAAUGUACUUUACGGUUCCCUUUUCUAUGGGUUCCCUUUUCCCACACAUGGAUGGUGAUCAGGGUGAACUGCCAAUCACUAUUGGAGAUGGAACUACUGCUAUCACAUCCAGCUUUAUCAAAGGUGUUGACAAAAGGGCCACCAUCACUAGAGGCUGGAGCGACUUCUUCCAUCGGGCACACAUGAACAAAGGGCAAGCAUAUGCUUUUGCCUUCAAAUGCACUUCCAAGGGAUUGUGCCUGAUCGUCUACAUAAGCAAGUUGCAAGAGCCCCUUGUUAUAUAA